RNAcentral lists this small nuclear RNA (130 nucleotides) under Cebus imitator (Panamanian white-faced capuchin). Its description in RNAcentral is "U4 spliceosomal RNA (ENSCCAG00000002051.1)". It matches the Rfam family "U4 spliceosomal RNA". Rfam says of the family: U4 small nuclear RNA (U4 snRNA) is a component of the major U2-dependent spliceosome. The structure of U4 snRNA from yeast and human has been reported. Lineage: Eukaryota; Metazoa; Chordata; Mammalia; Primates; Cebidae. The record is from RNAcentral.
CACUUUGUGCAGUGGCAAUAUCAUAGCCAGUGAAGUUUAUCUGUGGUGCAAUUAUUGCUAAGUGAAAACUUUUCCCAAUAUCCCGCCAUGAUGACUUGAAAUAAAAUGAUGCUAAAGAAACAUUUAAGUG